RNAcentral lists this ribosomal RNA (305 nucleotides) under uncultured bacterium. RNAcentral describes it as "bacterial SSU rRNA". It matches the Rfam family "Bacterial small subunit ribosomal RNA", at positions 338 to 656 of the family's 1533-position model. The record is from RNAcentral.
CCUACGGGAGGCAGCAGUGGGGAAUAUUGGGCAAUGGAGGAAACUCUGACCCAGCAAUGCCGCGUGAAUGAAGAAGGUCUUCGCAUUGUAAAGUUCUGUAGUUAGGGAAGAAUGUAAUGACGGUACCUAAAGAAUAAGCCCCGGCUAACUACGUGCCAGCAGCCGCGGUAAUACGUAGGGGGCAAGCGUUGUUCGGAAUGACUGGGCGUAAAGGGUGCGUAGGCGGUAGUACAAGUUAGAAGUGAAAUACUCAGGGCUUAACUCGGGUGCUGCUUCUAAAACUGUACGACUUGAGUGCAGUAGAG